CUAUCAUGGACUACCAACAAAGGAUGCACAAUAUAUGCCAUAAAAACCACAAAAAUCUCAAAAAAAUUUGGAUAAAAUCAGUGCUAUAAAGAAAGAGUUUUGGUUUUCUAAUCUCAUAGAAUUUAAAAUCCAAACUAAUUCCUACUUUGACUUGGUCCACAACCACAUUCCAUGAAAGAGAGAAAGAGUGGAAAGCUUUGGGCAUGUGUGAAGGU
This 215-nucleotide long non-coding RNA is filed under the name Elaeis guineensis (African oil palm). Its description in RNAcentral is "long non-coding RNA (EGUI_LNC050316)". The record is from RNAcentral. Lineage: Eukaryota; Viridiplantae; Streptophyta; Magnoliopsida; Arecales; Arecaceae.